Molecule: transfer RNA, 73 nt
Filed under: Phrynosoma platyrhinos (Desert horned lizard)
Lineage: Eukaryota; Metazoa; Chordata; Lepidosauria; Squamata; Phrynosomatidae
Description: tRNA-OTHER
Source: RNAcentral
GCCAGCGUGGUGUAGUGGUCUGAGCAUUGGGCUAGGACACCAGGAGACCAGGGUUCAAAUCCCGGCUCAGCCA